ACAAGGCGGUGGAUGAUGUGGAUUAAUUCGAUGCAACGCGAAAAACCUUACCUACCCUUGACAUGCCAGGAACUUGCCAGAGAUGGGCUUGGUGCCCGAAAGGGGAGCCUGGACACAGGUGCUGCAUGGCUGUCGUCAGCUCGUGUCGUGAGAUGUUGGGUUAAGUCCCGCAACGAGCGCAACCCUUGUCGUUAAUUGCCAUCAUUUGGUUGGGGCACUUUAACGAGACUGCCGGUGACAAACCGGAGGAAGGUGGGGAUGACGUCAAGUCCUCAUGGCCCUUAUGGGUAGGGCUUCACACGUCAUACAAUGGUCGGUACAGAGGGUUGCCAAGCCGUGAGGCGGAGCCAAUCCCAGAAAGCCGAUCGUAGUCCGGAUUGCAGGCUGCAACUCGCCUGCAUGAAGUCGGAAUCGCUAGUAAUCGCGGAUCAGCAUGUCGCGGUGAAUACGUUCCCGG
This 457-nucleotide ribosomal RNA is filed under the name uncultured bacterium. RNAcentral's name for it is "bacterial SSU rRNA". It matches the Rfam family "Bacterial small subunit ribosomal RNA", at positions 925 to 1377 of the family's 1533-position model. The record is from RNAcentral.